Molecule: transfer RNA, 66 nt
Filed under: Uenoa lobata
Lineage: Eukaryota; Metazoa; Arthropoda; Insecta; Trichoptera; Uenoidae
Description: tRNA-Asn
Source: RNAcentral
UUAAUUAAAACCAAAAAGAGGUAUAUUAAUGUUAAUAAUAUCAUUGAGAUUUAAACUCUAAUUAAA